This 127-nucleotide small RNA is filed under the name Marmota monax (woodchuck). Lineage: Eukaryota; Metazoa; Chordata; Mammalia; Rodentia; Sciuridae. The record is from RNAcentral.
GCUGGGUGUGGUGGCGCACACCUGUAAUCCCAGCCACUUGGGAGGCUGAAGCAGGAGGAUUGUGAGCCCAAAGCCAGCUUCAGCAACUUAAUGAGGCCCUAAGCAACUCAGCGAGAACCUACUUCUA